Molecule: ribosomal RNA, 404 nt
Filed under: Verrucomicrobiota bacterium
Lineage: Bacteria; Pseudomonadati; Verrucomicrobiota
Description: Verrucomicrobia bacterium partial 16S ribosomal RNA
Rfam family: Bacterial small subunit ribosomal RNA
Source: RNAcentral
UGGGGAAUAUUGCACAAUGGGGGAAACCCUGAUGCAGCGACGCCGCGUGAGCGAUGAAGGCUUUCGAGUCGUAAAGCUCUGUCCUAUGGGAAGAUAAUGACGGUACCAUAGAAGAAAGCCCCGGCUAAUUACGUGCCAGCAGCCGCGGUAAUACGUAAGGGGCGAGCGUUGUCCGGAAUUAUUGGGCGUAAAGAGUGCGUAGGCGGAAAAUUAAGUCAGAUGUGAAAACUAAGGGCUCAACCCAUAGAUUGCAUCUGAAACUGAUAUGCUUGAGUCAAGGAGAGGAAAGUGGAAUUCCUAGUGUAGCGGUGGAAUGCGUAGAUAUUAGGAGGAAUACCGGUGGCGAAGGCGACUUUCUGGACUUGAACUGACGCUGAGGCACGAAAGCGUGGGGAGCAAACAGG